RNAcentral lists this ribosomal RNA (255 nucleotides) under uncultured bacterium. RNAcentral describes it as "partial 16S ribosomal RNA". It matches the Rfam family "Bacterial small subunit ribosomal RNA", at positions 524 to 777 of the family's 1533-position model. The record is from RNAcentral.
UACAGAGGGGGCAAGCGUUGUUCGGAAUUACUGGGCGUAAAGGGCGCGUAGGCGGCCUUCUAAGUCGAACGUGAAAUCCCCGGGCUCAACCCGGGAACUGCGUCCGAUACUGGAAGGCUUGAAUCCGGGAGAGGGAUGCGGAAUUCCAGGUGUAGCGGUGAAAUGCGUAGAUAUCUGGAGGAACACCGGUGGCGAAGGCGGCAGUCCUGGACCGGCAUUGACGCUGAGGCGCGAAAGCCAGGGGAGCAAAGCGGG